CAGCAGCCACGGUAAUACGAAGGGGGCUAGCGUUGCUCGGAAUGACUGGGCGUAAAGGGCGCGUAGGCGGCGAUCAAAGUCAGGCGUGAAAUUCCUGGGCUCAACCUGGGGGCUGCGCUUGAUACUUGGUUGCUUGAGUGGGGGAGAGGUGAGUGGAAUUCCUGGUGUAGCGGUGAAAUGCGUAGAUAUCAGGAGGAACACCUGUGGCGAAAGCGGUUCACUGGACCAUAACUGACGCUGAGGCACGAAAGCUAGGGGAGCAAACAGGAUUAGAUACCCCAGUAGUCCCUGUCUCUUAUAC
RNAcentral lists this ribosomal RNA (301 nucleotides) under uncultured bacterium. RNAcentral's name for it is "partial 16S ribosomal RNA". It matches the Rfam family "Bacterial small subunit ribosomal RNA", at positions 509 to 807 of the family's 1533-position model. The record is from RNAcentral.